CAGCCGCCACGGUAAUACGAAGGGUGCGAGCGUUACUCGGAAUUACUGGGCGUAAAGCGUGCGUAGGUGGUGGUUUAAGUCCGUUGUGAAAGCCCUGGGCUCAACCUGGGAAUUGCAGUGGAUACUGGGUCACUAGAGUGUGGUAGAGGAUAGUGGAAUUUCCGGUGUAGCAGUGAAAUGCGUAGAGAUCGGAAGGAACAUCUGUGGCGAAGGCGACUAUCUGGGCCAACACUGACACUGAGGCACGAAAGCGUGGGGAGCAAACAGGAUUAGAUACCCCUGUAGUCCCUGUCUCUUAUAC
RNAcentral lists this ribosomal RNA (301 nucleotides) under uncultured bacterium. RNAcentral's name for it is "partial 16S ribosomal RNA". It matches the Rfam family "Bacterial small subunit ribosomal RNA", at positions 509 to 807 of the family's 1533-position model. The record is from RNAcentral.